GAAAUGGUGAACCGAUUACUUGCAAGAAAAUGGGACAGGAAAAUUAGGUUUCACAAAUUCAAACAUGGUCAUAAACCUCUAAACAAAAUAUAAGCUAAAAGCAAGUAACAUGUCCAACAAGAUCCUACUACCCUUCCAAAUAAAAACACUCUUGCGACCAAUUGCAGAAUAAAGAACCCCAUUUAGAAGAGAGAUGUCCCCUUUCCCUUCUUGUCUCCACCA
RNAcentral lists this unclassified non-coding RNA (222 nucleotides) under Hevea brasiliensis (rubber tree). Lineage: Eukaryota; Viridiplantae; Streptophyta; Magnoliopsida; Malpighiales; Euphorbiaceae. The record is from RNAcentral.